UUAGUGAAAAACACGAGCUUUUUUACUUGUUAUUAAUUGUUGGAUUUUAUCACUUUUUCUUUAAAGUUAUGGCUUCAAAUUGCAAUGUUCCAUAUUCUAUAAUUUUCCGUUUUACACAGUAACAAUUUCUCUAAUCUUCUGGGCUAUAGUAGUUAGUAUCCUUGUCUAUGCUCGGCGUUUCGUCACUAAGUUAAGUUAGUAAUAUGGGCCUUAACUCACAACAAGUUUUGUCAUUUAUUCCUGCAGACUCUUGGACUCCAGUUUUUGUAAUGCCUGGUUAUAAAUCGAGUAAUGGAAUUUAUAUAAUAUCUACAAAUGAAAAAUAUUUACAACGUUGUAACGACAUAUAUAAAAUGGCAUUACAUAGUUAUACAUUUGAAAAAGUCAAUACAUAUAAAUUUAUGGAAUUAGUUGCAGUAGAAAUUGAAGGAUUAUGGUGCAGAGGUAGAAUGUUAAGUUAUAAUGAAUUUCUGGUUGAAAACACAGCUGUUGAGUUAAUUGAUUCAGGAACUAUUGUCAAAAAACAAUUAAGUGAUUUAUAUCAUUUACCACAUGGUUAUAAAUAUGAUCCUUUAUGUCUCACAAUUAAACCUGUUAAUGAAAUUCCUUCCCUUACAAUAGUUACACAAUUUUAUGUUCAACCUUUAUUAUUAAAAAGUGAACUUCAUAAAGGUUAUGUUGUAGUAAAUAUCAAACCAAUAGAAAUGAUUAAUGAGAUAUAUUCGGAGAAGACUUAUGAAGAAAUGAAUACAAAAAGUUCUCAUCCUUUAAUCAUAAGUACAAAGGACAAAUGUACAGUUAAAGAUUCUAAUUGUAAUGCCCAAGAAUUUAACAAGUUAAAUAACCACAUGACUUGCAUGAAAGAACUCAAAAAACAAGGCAUUAUUGAAAAUAAAUAUGUUGAAUUUUCAGAUGACUUGAAAGAGGUAUUAAUUGAAGAAAAAAAUUAUUUUUUGAAAACUUUGUUAAAUAAUGGAAAUAUAUAUGACUUGAAUAAUAUAUUUUCAAUACCUAAUAAUUAUAAUUAUAAAUUGUCAUUGAAAUAUGUUGACCAAAAUAAUCAACCUGUUCUUGUUCAUGAUGUCAUUGAAUACAACCAAAAUAACGAUGAUACACAUAAAACUAAUAAUAAUGAUACUUCAAUAAUUAAAGAAUCAAAUGUUACUGGUUUAAGAACUUACUCUACAUCACACAUGUCAGUAGAUAAUAUAUUUAAAAAUGGAUCAUCUGUUGAAUUUUGCUAUGGUACAAACAUUAAUUUUGUGUAUAUUAGAAGUUAUGACCAAAAAAAAAAAUAUUCAAAAGAAAUGAAACAGUUUUACGCAUAUUAUAAAAUAAAGGAAAAUUUAAAAAUCAAAACAAAUAUAACCAUUGGAGAUAUGGUUGCAGCCACUUUGUUACAUUACAAUGAAAUACACAGAGCUGUAAUAUUAGAGGAGAGUUCAAAUCAUUCUUUUAAAAAUUAUUUCUGUUUUUUUAUUGAUAUCGGCUGUAAAGAAUAUGUUAACCCAAAUCAUAUCUUUUAUUUAUUAGAAGAAGCUAAAAAUGUUCCUUAUUUAGCUCAUAGAGUGGAGUUGAAAAAUAUUCCAUUGCAUAAUACUAUGCAAUUAAAGUAUUUAAAGAACUAUUAUGAUCAAUUGUAUUUACAGCCAUUAUUAAUAGAAUAUGUUGAAAGUGAUUCCAGUGGAUUAAACAAAGCUAUAUUAAAAAGAAAAUCAGAUAAUAAGGAUAUUUAUUUAGAUUUAAAAGAAUUUUUACAAAAAAAAUUAUCAAGUUUUAGUUUGUUACAUAAUAAAGGAACUAAAUUAAAAAUAACAGACUAUUUGAAGUAUAAUGAUUUGUUUAAAAAUGGAUCAGUAGUAUUAAUUACUCAUUUCAUUUCUAUAAAUCAAAUUUAUAUCCGUAUUAAUACAUCUGAAUUAACAGAAUACUAUAAUAAUUUAAUCACAGAAGUUAAUAAGUUUUAUGUCAAUUCGAAAAGUACAUAUCACAGAAUACAGACUCCAAAAAUUGGUGAAAGAGUUGCUGUAAAAUCUCUAUCUAAGAAAACAUUUGUACGUGCAACUAUUUCUAAAAAAAUUAAUGACACAACUUAUUUAGUACACUACAUUGAUUAUGGUGAUAAAGAGUAUGUGAAAGCAAUCAACAUUUUUCAGUUAGACUCUAGAUUUGGACAUUUGCCACAGUCUGUGAUUAAAAUUGGUUUAAAAAUUAGUAUGUCAAUCAAUACAAUUAAACAUCUUCCUGAAUACUUCAAUCAAUUAAUUCAAUUAUCAGUUCCAUUGAUUGCGGAGUUUGACGAGGAAGAUCCAUUAGGGUUUCAAAAGAUUGUUUUAAGAAAGAAGCUUGAUGGCGUUAAUAUUUGUGAAGAUAUUUGUAAUCUACCUGACCUAUUAUAAAUAAGUGUUAUAACAAACUUAUGUUAAAAUUUUUUUAUAAGUUAAUCUAGCAACUGAUAUGACAGUACUCGGAAAAAAAAUCCAUACCUAACUGUUGGAUACAGCUGCAAAAGUGUAAAAAUUAAUAAUGAAUACUUAGGUAAUAAUAAAUGUUAAAACUAUAUAACAUUUGAAUGAUAAUAUUAUCUAGGUCAGACCUCAGUUCUGCAUAAAAUAAAAAUGUUUACUGUUUUAUAGUUGCCUCUUUUUGUACUUCUCUCUUCAGGUUCACCUAAAGCAUCUAUUGUUAACUUUGCUCGAUCGGCGUAAUUUCGUUUUUAAUUUUUCUUAUCAGUUUCCAUAUUGUAGGAUGUUUUUGACCAACUAGUUUUGGAAACCUAUUGUUCCAUCCUUCAACAAUGUUGUUGGUCUGUUACAGUUACUGAGGGUAGUUUCAUUUACAUUCCAUACAGCAGGUGGGUACAUCGGUGGUAGUUUUCGAAACAUAAUUUUAUUUUCAUCACUUCCUAUUCUUCGAUAUUUGCCAUUAACAACGUAGUAUGCAUCAAAAUAAUCUAAUAGAUCCGUGAGAUUUUCGGUUAAAUUGUUUUUUAGAUACUUACGUCAUUUCUUCUUCUACAAGGUGCAAAGGAAGGAAUGCAAGUGCGUCAACUAUUCCACAAUGUUUCCAAAAUUCUUCAUCCUUUUUGUACAUUGUGGCAAAACCGAGUGCUUGUACUUUCCGGAACGUUGAUUGACACUAAGUAUGAUAGAAGCAGCCUCUUACAUUUAUAUGAACACCUAAUACUUCUUUUGCUGCUUCGAUAACUGCACUUUCAAAGUCAAGAUAAUGUGGCAGAUCAUCCAUGCAAUAAACUAAAUAUCUUGAGAAAUGAAGAUGAACUUUUUGAUAAUUCAAAUUCUUCUGAAAAUGUAAACAGUACCGAUAAAUUGAAUUUGUCAAAUACUCAUGAAAAAAAUUAU
This is an RNA transcript of Metopolophium dirhodum (rose-grain aphid), 3362 nucleotides long. RefSeq lists it as uncharacterized. The record is from RefSeq and is a predicted model, not a curated record. Lineage: Eukaryota; Metazoa; Arthropoda; Insecta; Hemiptera; Aphididae. The transcript has 20 exons.